Molecule: ribosomal RNA, 392 nt
Filed under: uncultured bacterium
Lineage: Bacteria
Description: partial 16S ribosomal RNA
Rfam family: Bacterial small subunit ribosomal RNA
Source: RNAcentral
AUACGUAGGUGGCAAGCGUUAUCCGGAAUUAUUGGGCGUAAAGAGGGAGCAGGCGGCAGCAAGGGUCUGUGGUGAAAGCCUGAAGCUUAACUUCAGUAAGCAAUAGAAACCAGGCAGCUAGAGUGCAGGAGAGGAUCGUGGAAUUCCAUGUGUAGCGGUGAAAUGCGUAGAUAUAUGGAGGAACACCAGUGGCGAAGGCGACGAUCUGGCCUGCAACUGACGCUCAGUCCCGAAAGCGUGGGGAGCAAAUAGGAUUAGAUACCCUAGUAGUCCACGCCGUAAACGAUGAGUACUAAGUGUUGGAUGUCAAAGUUCAGUGCUGCAGUUAACGCAAUAAGUUAUCCACCUGGGGAGUACGUUCGCAAGAAUGAAACUCAAAUGAAUUGGCGGGG